Molecule: ribosomal RNA, 1063 nt
Filed under: uncultured alveolate
Lineage: Eukaryota
Description: bacterial SSU rRNA
Rfam family: Eukaryotic small subunit ribosomal RNA
Source: RNAcentral
GCAGCUUAAGCCAUGCAUGUCUAAGUGUAAAUGCUUUAUAGUGAAACUGCGAAUGGCUCAUUAAAACAGUAAUUGUUUGCUUGGAAACAAUCCGACUUUCGGAUACCUGCGGCAAUUCUACAGCUAAUACGUGACGGCUUUUUCGGAAGCGGUGCAUGUUAAUUAGGACAAUCGGUAGAGGUUACUUUACCUUGAAAGAACACCUUCAUGCGUGAAUCGUGUUACGAUACGAAUGUCCAUCGAAGUUUCUGACCUAUCAGGCUCCGACGGUUGGGAAUUGGCCAACUGUGCCUAUAACGGGUGACGGGGGAUUAGGGUUUGACUCCGGAGAGGGAGCAUGAGAGAUGGCUACCACAUCUAAGGAAGGCAGCAGGCGCGCAAAUUACCUAUCUUUAACACGGAGAGGUAGUAAACAGAAAUAAUGACGCGCGAUCUUUAUUGUGCGAUCGGAAUGGAUAGCUUGUAAACAAGGCUAUGAAAUCAACUAGAGGGCAAGUCUGGUGCCAGCAGCCGCGGUAAUUCCAGCUCUAAUAGCCUAUAUUAAAGUUGUUGCAGUUAAAACGUUCGUAGUCUACCUCUGUCUGCGCGGUUGAUUGGGGGCCUAUGGCGUUCCAAGCAUUUCCGACAGAGAGUAUGCAGCUUUCGCCGGGCAUGCUUCAUGUACGGACGCAGGUUGCAUUGUACUUUGAGUGAAUCGACGUGUUUCACGCAGAUUAAUGUCUUGGACGAUCUACCAUGGUAUAAAAAUAGUUUGAAUAUGCCACGUUGGUUGUUUCGAGGUGCAUUCUACUGCCAAAAGAACGGUUGAGGGCAUUCGUAUUCAACUGCCAGAGGUGAAAUUCUUUGAUUAGUUGAGGACGACCUACUGCGAAAGCAUUUGCCAAAGACCUUUCUUCUGAUCAAGAACGAAAGUUAGGUGACCGAAGAUGAUUAGAUACCGUCGUAGUCGUAACUAUAAACGUUGCUAACCGAGCGCCGGUGUGGUUUUACUAUGCUAUUUCGGAACUUUUUGAGAAAUCAUGAGUCUCUAAGUUCUGGGGGGAGUACAGUUGCAAGGCCGAAA